RNAcentral lists this ribosomal RNA (253 nucleotides) under uncultured bacterium. RNAcentral's name for it is "partial 16S ribosomal RNA". It matches the Rfam family "Bacterial small subunit ribosomal RNA", at positions 524 to 776 of the family's 1533-position model. The record is from RNAcentral.
UACGGAGGAUCCAAGCGUUAUCCGGAAUCAUUGGGUUUAAAGGGUCCGUAGGCGGCUCAGUAAGUCAGUGGUGAAAUCUCCCGGCUCAACCGGGAAAUGGCCAUUGAUACUGUUGGGCUUGAAUUAUUAGGAAGUAACUAGAAUAUGUAGUGUAGCGGUGAAAUGCUUAGAGAUUACAUGGAAUACCAAUUGCGAAGGCAGGUUACUACUAAUGGAUUGACGCUGAUGGACGAAAGCGUGGGUAGCGAACAGG